GGGGAAUUUUCCGCAAUGGGCGCAAGCCUGACGGAGCAAUACCGCGUGCGGGAGGAAGCUUUUUGGAGUGUAAACCGCUUUUCUCAGGGAAGAUGAUGACGGUACCUGAGGAAUCAGCAUCGGCUAACUUCGUGCCAGCAGCCGCGGUAAUACGAGGGAUGCAAGCGUUAUCCGGAAUUAUUGGGCGUAAAGCGUUCGUAGGUGGCUAAGUUAGUCUGUCGUUAAAACGUGGAGCUUAACUCCAUACCGGCGAUGGAAACUGCUUGGCUAGAGUAUGGUAGGGGUAAGAGGAAUUCCCAGUGUAGCGGUGAAAUGCGUAGAUAUUGGGAAGAACACCAGCGGCGAAAGCGUCUUACUGGGCCAUUACUGACACUGAGGGACGAAAGCUAGGGGAGCGAAAGGGAUUAGAUACCCCUGUAGUCCUAGCCGUAAACGAUGAGAACUAGGUGUUGCGCGUAUCGACCCGCGCGGUGCCGUAGCCAACGCGUUAAGUUCUCCGCCUGGGGAGUACGCACGCAAGUGUGAAACUCAAAGGAAUUGACGGGGGCCCGCACAAGCGGUGGAGUAUGUGGUUUAAUUCGAUGCAACGCGAAGAACCUUACCAGGGCUUGACAUCCCUGGAAUCUUUUGGAAACAGAAGAGUGCCUUCGGGAACCAGGAGACAGGUGGUGCAUGGCUGUCGUCAGCUCGUGUCGUGAGAUGUUGGGUUAAGUCCCGCAACGAGCGCAACCCACGUUUUUAGUUGCCAUCAUUUAGUUGGGCACUCUAGAGAGACUGCCGGUGACAAACCGGAGGAAGGUGUGGAUGACGUCAAGUCAGCAUGCCCCUUACGUCUUGGGCUACACACGUACUACAAUGCUACGGACAAAGGGCAGCCAAUCAGCAAUGACGCGCAAAUCCCAUAAACCGUAGCUCAGUUCAGAUCGUAGGCUGCAACUCGCCUACGUGAAGGCGGAAUCGCUAGUAAUCGCAGGUCAGCAUACUGCGGUGAAUACGUUCCCGGGCCUUGUACACACCGCCCGUCACACCAUGGGAGUUGGUCACGCCCGAAGUGGUUACCCUAACCGUAAGGAGGGGGACCCCUAAGGCAGGGCUGAUGACUGGGGUGAAGUCGUAACAAGGUAGCCGUACCGGAAGGUGUGGCUGGAUCACCUCCU
RNAcentral lists this ribosomal RNA (1157 nucleotides) under Leptolyngbya sp. GSE-PSE30-01B. RNAcentral describes it as "bacterial SSU rRNA". It matches the Rfam family "Bacterial small subunit ribosomal RNA", at positions 356 to 1531 of the family's 1533-position model. The record is from RNAcentral. Lineage: Bacteria; Bacillati; Cyanobacteriota; Cyanophyceae; Leptolyngbyales; Leptolyngbyaceae.